RNAcentral lists this ribosomal RNA (537 nucleotides) under Acinetobacter calcoaceticus. RNAcentral describes it as "bacterial SSU rRNA". It matches the Rfam family "Bacterial small subunit ribosomal RNA", at positions 49 to 579 of the family's 1533-position model. The record is from RNAcentral. Lineage: Bacteria; Pseudomonadati; Pseudomonadota; Gammaproteobacteria; Moraxellales; Moraxellaceae.
UUUCACAUGCAGUCGAGCGGAGAGAGGUAGCUUGCUACUGAUCUUAGCGGCGGACGGGUGAGUAAUGCUUAGGAAUCUGCCUAUUAGUGGGGGACAACAUUUCGAAAGGAAUGCUAAUACCGCAUACGUCCUACGGGAGAAAGCAGGGGAUCUUCGGACCUUGCGCUAAUAGAUGAGCCUAAGUCGGAUUAGCUAGUUGGUGGGGUAAAGGCCUACCAAGGCGACGAUCUGUAGCGGGUCUGAGAGGAUGAUCCGCCACACUGGGACUGAGACACGGCCCAGACUCCUACGGGAGGCAGCAGUGGGGAAUAUUGGACAAUGGGCGCAAGCCUGAUCCAGCCAUGCCGCGUGUGUGAAGAAGGCCUUAUGGUUGUAAAGCACUUUAAGCGAGGAGGAGGCUACUUUAGUUAAUACCUAGAGAUAGUGGACGUUACUCGCAGAAAUAAGCACCGGCUAACUCUGUGCCAGCAGUCGCGGUAAUACAGAGGGUGCAAAGCGUUAAUCGGGUUUACUGGGCGUAAAGCGCGCGUAGGCGGC